CAAGAAGUGCUUAUGAAUGAGUAUUCUGGAAUACCAUGCGGGAGUAAGUUUCUGCUAAGAUAUUCUCUUUUCACAAGUAGCAAUUGCUAUACAGUGUUAACUCUAUCAAAUACAGAUAUAAAUGGGACUUCUUUUUAAUUUCUAAAAUCUAAGAUGGUACUUGAUAAACUAAAGAUUUCCAUAAUUUCUGUUUGUCUUUCUUCGGCUAGGAAUGUUUAGUUUAUGUUAGCAUGUUGCUUUGAUAAAGAAUGUUGUUGCAAGGACAGAUCCAGGCAUGUAUUUGUGAUGAAUCAUCAACGAUUAUAACAUCUAUUUCAACUGUGUUUGUACUUUUCAAAUGUCUUGUCUUGUUGAUCUAGUUAAAUGUGUCGAUAUUUUGCUACUGUUAUACUUGUUUGGUUAACUUGAUCUUUCCUAGUGAAGUUCUUUUAAGAUAUAAGGUUUAUCUCAUUAUGGUUAUCAUAUAUUAGACAUUGGCAUGAACCAUUUUUAUGAAGUAAAUCAGCUUUAAAUUGUCUAGAGCAAUCUUUGCUUCAGUGCUGAUACCCAUAGUAGAAUAGAAACUCCUUUGUGAUCACAUGUUGGAACAAUUGACUUUCAAUGACGGUUCAUUUUGUUCUUACCUCGACUUUUUUGUUCUUCAGAUGCUGGAAAAAGCAACUCUUGAUCGCAAAAGAUGCACGACGAGUUGAUGCAUUAUGUUAUCGUAUUUCUCUUAGUCAUAAACUUCUCAGCCUAACUGAAAAGUAUCAGAGUUUGCAUGAGAUAGUUGACACAGCACGGAAGAAACUGGAGGCAGAGGUUGGGCCUAUCGAUGAUUUAUCAAACAUGGCACGUGGAAUUGUUAACCGACUCUCUGUUGGUGCUGAAGUUCAAAGACUGUGUGCCCAUGCAGUAGACUUACUAGAUUCUAUGCGUGGUAGUUCUUUGUCAGCUAAUAGUCAACUUCAGCGUAAGCUUCACUAAGCUUCAAGUUUACUGAGCAUUCUGGUAUCUGUUUGGUUUUGACUGAUUUUUUUUUUUGUGAAUUUUUAUUGCCUACAGAAAUUGGUACGGUAUCCUCCAGCUUCAUCAAAUUUGAAGAGAUAUUACCAACAUCUCUUACUGUGGCAUUGGAUAUAGAGGAUAACACACCAUUAGCUCAAGAGCUAGCUGGUUUCACUUUGUGGCACCGAAAGACUGACAACCCAGAAUACCCCAGGAAACCAUCAUUGUCUGUGUUUAAACCGAAGAAAAGGUUGCUAUUAACAGAACUAAUUCCAGCCACAGAAUAUAUGUUCAAGGUGGUAGGCUUCAGCAAAAUGCGGAACCUCUACACGUGGGAAGUUGGAGUAAAAACUAAAGCUAUCUCUCUUGAUGACUCUGUGGGUUUGGCACUGGAGACAACUGUAUCAAACCCACAUUGUCAAAUCUCUAAAACAAACAGUAGUGGCUUGUCUAAUCCCUUGGAGGGAGACGAAUCCAAUACCAAUAGUUCUGCAUGUGCUGACUUGAAUAAGUUGCCGGAAAUUGAUUUUGAUGAUUGUGAGAAGCCUCAGAUUCUCGAGACAGAAAAAUCAUUCGAUCAUGCCCAGAAAGAUAAUAGCCACCAAAAGAGUGAAUGUAAGGGCAGUAUUAGUGGAGCAGAAGUUCUUGAGCCAGAGGAUUCACAUGGGCACUCUGAUUCUGCAUUAGAUGAGGAGCCAAACUCAACCAUUCCGAUCGAGUCCACUAACUCUAUGGAGAAUAACCAGGCAUCUGACAUCCCGAAGUCGGAUAAUGAAUCUAACACUCCUGUCGUCAAUGAGAUGGUGAUCGUACCAUUUGGACAAUCAGAUCCCACCUUGCCUGCCACUCCUCCCUGCAGGUUGGAAACUGGAACAGAAGGUUCUGGAAGGUGCAUUAAAGGGAACAAUGGUUUUAAUAUAUUUGAGAAAGGCUCGUUGAAUCCAGACGUGGAACCAGGAAGUUCAUCCAAGAAAAGAGGUGGAGGAAAAUUUGAGGGUAUAAAUAUCAAGGAUGGGUCGAUGGAAGGGUUAUAUGAAUACUGUGUGAAGGUCAUUAGGUGGCUGGAAUGCGAGGGGCACAUCGAGAGCAACUUCAGGGUGAAGUUCUUGACUUGGUUCAGCCUGCGAGCAACCCCACAGGAGAGAAGAAUUGUUAGUGUUUAUGUUGAUACGCUGAUCGAUGAUCCCCCAAGCCUUGCAGGGCAGUUGGUGGACACCUUCUUGGAAGCGAUCUGCAGCAAGAGGCCACCUCCAGCGCCAACAGGCUUCUGCACGAACCUUUGGCACUGAGGAAGCUAUUGGACUCGAUAAUCAAUGUGACAAUUCUUUAGAUGCAAAUUAUUGCAUUAGUUAUUCAUCGGGCAUGUAUUCAUGGGUCAGCAAUUUCAGGUUAACUCAUAUUAUUGCUUGUCCACAAUUACAAUUUAUAUGUACCUGACACAUGAACAGAACUGUUUUGUUCCUCCUAAUGCUCUUUUGUUCUCAUGGCAUUCUGUGGCACUGCUCUUUAUCUUUGCAGAAACUUGAUGCCCAAAGUUCAUCAAUGUCGAAAGAAUCACUCUUUUGAAAGAAUCUACAUUGGAUAAACUGGAGAAAAGGACUGCUUGGAUGUUUCUUUUGAGUUUGACGUUGAUUCUUUGAUCUUGUGGAUGCACGUUUUUGCAUGGUUAACUGAGUGAAUAGUAAACAUGUAUAUUAAACAUGCUUUUGGGAGCUGGGCUGAUUCAUGCGCAAGGCUUAAUUCCCUGCUCAUUUCAGCCUAUACAAUCUGGAGCAAGAUGUUGCCCACACUCCUAUACUGUUCUGUGUUGAGGCUUUUUAUACGCGUGCACUUGGGAGCAAGGUGGUGAUAGCAAUAAAAUUACCACCACCACUUUCCUGUUCUCCUCCUCCACAUACUCGCAAUCACCAUGGCCUACUUUUUCUCCUCUGUUUCGAACUUUAAGAUGAAGACUAAAGACAUCGGCAAUCACAAAAGCAUACAAAAGCCUUGGAAGACAGUAAUCUAAUACUUGUUAGAUUCAUGGAAGAAAGGUCCCAACGCCAAAUAAUUCAACACAUCUACUGAUGAAUGGUGUGUGUGUGUGUGUUGAUAUAUGUAUCACAGAAUCACAUGCUAUUCUCCUCGUGAGGUGACGUUAAUUUAAUCACCUCUACCAGUGUUGGUUGCUACCAUAGGUUAGCAAAGAAAUGCAAAAUUAUUUGAUACUUAUAUGAAUAAGAUGUGCAAACUAUACACAACCACUCAGUUAUGGAUAUUUAUAUGAAUAAGAAGAAGUCGAACUAUACCCGACCACUCAAUUUGGUGGUGUGUGAUAAGGAUAAUAAUAACGACGAGACACGAACUAACGUCACCUGCUCCCGGGUAAUGUCUCCUGGGUCACGCCGACCGAGGAGCUACGGGGGUCGCCUGUCUCAGUCUGACCUGACAGCUUCUGGUCUAAGUAGACCAAAACGCCGAUCGAGGCACGUCGCCAUCCUGCAGGAGCCUGGUCUUUCACACCACGCCAAUGUCGAUGUCAGACGUUAUCCAAGGUACGAUCCUGCUCCCUGCAAGUGUGCACAUCAGGAAACGUUGACCUUCCUUAUAAAAACCCUUGCAUUCGGAACAAUAGGGGAGAGGAAAAAAAAACCCCGGAGAUUGUCGACUGACUUGAUUGUCGGAAGGGUCGAGCCGAGCUCUCCCGACCCGACCUGUGUGCAGGUACGAAGACGGAGUGCCUCCCACCAAAUGCCCAGGCGAGAUGUCCCAUCACGGAGAAAACAGUGACCCCGUCGAGAUCGGACCACCAUAGUCAGCUACCUCAGCAGCCUCAAGGGUCAUUCAGAAAGAUCUCCAAUCAUUCGGACAUGAACCCAACCGUGUUGGCCCGAGACCACGGCGCAAAGAUAUUGACACUAACAAUGCGUAUUCAGAUCUUAUUCUCAUAAGUUGAGAUUUGAACUCUUAUUCGCAUAAGCGAUGGUGUGUAUUCGGAUCUUAUUCACAUAGGUUGAGAUUCGAACUCUUAUUCCUAUAAUUAGAAUGUUCAUAUUGACAUAAUUAGAACACUAAAUAAGAUAACUAUUGUAAUAACCUAAAUGGAAUCAAAUAUUUUUUUCCCUCUCUCUUUUGUAAUAAUAUAAUUAGAUUAUUAUGAUAAUCUAAUCAGAACACUAAAUCAUACAUAAUGAGUCCUUUCUCUCUCUCUCUCUCUCUCUCUCUCUCUCUCUCUCUCUCUCUCUUCUCUAUCUCUUUCAACAAACAGCUGUCUGCGCAACGCCCACCUCUCAUCAUGUAGGUUGACAAUUUUGUCGUUCUUGAGCCAUUCCAGUUGAGAUUAUCUUGACAACCAAUUCACUGCUCUGCCAACAGUUUCUCUAAGCAUCAUUCAUGGCAUUCUCAUGCACAACAUGAAUCAUUGAGGGAUUAAUGUGGCUUGGGACCCCAUCUGCACCUGUAUUUGGUCCUCCACCCCAAGUACUCACUCCUCCACCAAAUCUUGGCCCCUCGGGAACACUUCUAAAUAAUUCCACCCAAUGAUCAUCCCCUCCUCGGCACUUCACCCAUGGCUGCUUGGGUCAUCCACCAUGUGCCAUGGUUUCUCAGGCUCCACGGAUGAGAUGGUUCUGAUGACCGGCACGCUCAGUGGCUGACCGUUGCUUUGCUCAUCUCCUUCCAUGACCAUGUUAUUUGGGUGUCGAGCAUGAAAAAGUAGCUCUGGUUUCAUCUUCCACCAUUAAAGCCUUGUGUUGAGCGUGCUUUGUUGAGAACAGUGGCAGGGAUGACGCCACCAUUUCCUCUUAGAAAACUCCCACCUUCCCUCAUGCAGUUUCAUCAUAAUGUAUUGCCACCUUGUCUCCUUCGGAAAGCUAAGCAUCCUCCUCUGGUUGUGUGCAGUGAUGGUGGACUGCUUUAGGAGUUCCUAAAGCAUUUGCAUCUCCCUUUCUUCUUCCUCCUCUUCUUUGAUCAUCACCUGCAUUUCGAGUGCAAGUGAGCAGAAGACAGAGUCGUAAGCAUGCGUCUUAAACGCUUGCUGUCUCUUGGAAUUGGUCGGAGGAGCAGAGGACAAGCGAACGCAGAGGAGAAUGCCUCCCCUGUUCGUGAGAGCCAACCUAUCCAUCAUCUGUUCGACGCGGAGCCACCUUGCAAGCCAACUUGGAGAUGCUUCUCCUACGAGGAGAUACAUCGAGCAACUGGUGGCUUUCGCCAAGGUCUGCUGACUCCAUGUUUCAGAGCGCUGUUACAUGGGAAACUCCGGCGGAUUCUCAUCAUCUUGUUGUUGUUUUGGUGGCGCUGGAGUUUGCAGAGAACCUGGUCGGGAGAGGCGGGUACGCCGAGGUGUACAGGGGAGUGCUCGAGGACGGGCAGGCGAUCGCGGUGAAGAGGCUGACGAGGGCGUCGUCGGACGAGCAGAGGACCAAGGAUUUCCUGACGGAGCUGGGCGCGGUCGGCCACGUCCGGCACCCCAACGUCUCCGCCCUCCUCGGAUGCUGCGUCGACCGCGACCUCCAUCUGAUCUUUGAGUUCUCUUCACGCGGCUCCGUCUGCUCCAACCUCUACGGUAACGUGACAUCGGGUGCGAAGCUGUUCGUGGAGAACGUCACACGCAGAACGUGGUCGAGCUUAUGUGUACGCUAUGUGCAGAUGAAAGCUCUCCCCCCAUGGCUUGGAAGCUGCGGCACGACAUCGCCGUGGGCACUGCGAGGGGGCUCCAUUACCUGCACAAGGGAUGCCAGAGAAGGAUCAUCCACAGAGACAUCAAGGCCUCCAACAUCCUCCUCACCGCCAACUUCGAGCCUCAGGUAGCAGCACUCAGCUAACCUCAUUGCUAAUUCUCCUCUCGAUCUGUACGACGAAUCCAUCUCCUCCACCGCAGAUCUCCGACUUCGGGCUCGCAAGAUGGCUUCCAACGGAGUGGACACACCGCGCCGUGGCACGGGCACCGAUAGAAGGGACGUUCGGGUACGAACUCCUCGAGAACAUUCAUGCAGGAGCGCAAGGUCUUUGAUGCUCGCAGCAGCUAACGAAGCUUGUGGUAUCACCAGGUGCUUGGCGCCGGAAUACUUCAUGCACGGGAUCGUUCACGAGAAGACCGAUGUGUUUGCAUUUGGCGUCUUCCUCUUGGAGAUCAUAUCAGGAAGGAAACCAGUGGAUGGAUCUCACAACAGCUUGCUCAGCUGGGUCAGUGUCAGCUGCAUCCGAUAGAUAUCGGGAACAUCACAGAACUGCUACUGCUAACUUUAUUUCAUACAGGCAAAACCUUAUCUACGUGAUGGCACUGUGCAAGCUUUGGUGGAUGCAAGACUAGGAGAUGAAUACGACAUUGAUCAGCUGAGGAAGCUCACAUUUGCAGCCUCCCUCUGCAUCAGAACAACCCCAACACAGCGCCCUUCCAUGACUGAGGUAAAUUACUGUUGCUGGUCACAUGAAGAACAACUUUAGGAUGAAAGAAUCAUGCCAAAAAGGCACUGAAAGAUCAUUGAAACCCACUAAAAGUGUGCUGAAGUGGACAGUAGAAGAAGCUCGGAAGGAAGUAAAAGGUUUAGCAACACCAGGAAACUUGAGAAGAUGCAGGUUUCAUGGUAGAUUGAUUCUCUCUAUCAAGUUAUAUUUGUUUAGUUGGAUGCCUAAUUGAAGGCCAAACUACUGGUGACUUAGGAGGAAUAUAUUGGUGACAGGUUGCUUUCUUCCUAACAAUUCUGUCUGAGUCCGUCUCUGAUUAGCUCUUAGGGUCAUUCCCACAUGUAGUGUUUUUGCUUGGUUUAGAUUAGACAACUCCUAAUGAUGAUAAUCAAAUGAAUAAUGGCAGGCAUUGGACAUACUAGAAGGCAGGAAGAUAUUGCAAGAUCAGUGGAAGAUGCCAGAGGGAGAGGAGGAAGAACAAGAGUUCUGGGGCUUUGAUGAUCUGGACGACGACGACGACGACGAAUGUGAUACUGCCUCAUCAUCUUCGUCAACAGGGAGAUCGCAAUCAUAGAUUUGCUUAAGCAAUCAAUGCCAUUGACCUAACACCAUUGUAGUGAGAGAAAGUAAUGAUCAUAACUACUCACUUAUGCUGUGAUGGUUAUGUUGUCGAUCUAUCAGGUGUAGCGGGUCAAGGCAUUUGGCACAAGUCAAUAGAUUGACUGCUGGUAAUUUAGGGAGUAAAUUAGAUCGUGAUGUAACAAGCCGACAAGCGACAGGAGAUAUUAAUGCAUGAGACUUCGACCGAUGCAAGUCUUACUCCCAAAAACUCAUAUAUAUGAGAGUUCAAUUGCCUGGCUAUCUUAGAUUCAUUAGCUAUGGUUGUGGAGCUUUGCCUUAUUUGGAGAACCACAGGAUCAGCUGAGAUUAAGAUUAGAAACAAGCGAUGUUACCUAGGACUGAAUUAUCAUCAUGAACAUACCUGAAACUAACAGAUGCUGUGGAAUAAUUGGAAGGGACCAAGGAAAUCUCCUUGGUUGGCCAAGGACUGAACUCAGACAACCCGGGAAAGGAAGCAUGACAUCGAAAUGGAUGCCGAGGAAGGUGAUGAAAGCCUUAUCAUUUCGGAUACACGCCCAUCUCUGUGUCGAAAGAAGACAAGGAUCAGAAAACUACAACCUGCACCUGCUCUGUGUCUUAUCAAGUGGGCAAAAACUAUGAAUCCAAACAGCUAGAUAGUUUGUGUGAUAAUAUUGAAAAAUAGGUAUCAGAAUUCUAGAUCUGAAGAGCAAAGAUCAAAAGUAAAAUGAUAUGAAGAUAAUAGAUUGAGAGAGGCCACUGGUUAUCUUCUGCUAUAUAUUUCAGAUGUUUGCAGAUAUGAGAGCACCCAUAUUACUUCAGUUCAUUCAAGUUUGCCAGAGGACUGAUCUUUGAUCUGUUCUUGAUGACCUCUCUAUUUGCCUUCAUACACACAAGCCUCCCACAUGGUUGAAUUCUAGUCACAUCUUUGUUCCUUCAUGUUGCAAAAGUAGCAGUAGUAAGUGUUAUUGAUCUCCUAGUAACUUUGUUACUGUUCCAGAUUUACAAUAAAGGAUGACAAUACAAUAACAACAAAAAAAACAAGAAGGCACAAUAUGCCAAUUAUUUAGCAUUUGACCAUACAAAAUUUUUUUCUGCUAUUAAGUUUUAUACAUAAUAAUAUGCUUAAUUAUCAAAAGCAUCUAAAUCUUUAUUUAUAUUUUAAAGAGAAAUCUUUUUACAUAUCCCCGAACUAAAAUGAAGUCACCUGAGAAUCAAUCAAAAUUUCACCAAUUUAUUCUUUUUUUCUGGUCCGAAGCUACCGAGCAGCAGACAGGAAGAGAACUAGAAUAGAUGUGGAUGCCUUCUCCAACAACAUAGACGUAUGAUGUUUACAGCUCUCAUGUGUUGCUGCUUGAGAAAACUGGCACGAGGGACUUGAAGUUUUAAUGCAAACAUUUUAUAAACUAAUAGAAUAGAGCUCUAAAUGUCAUACAAAAGGAACAUAGAAAUCACUUUGAUUGGUUUUGGAUGGAUGAUGUCUAGCAAUUGGCCAUAUUAAAAUGCUAACAUGGUGAAACAUUAAUCACAGAUUCCAGCCUCCUUAAUGCCCCAAAUGUGAUCAGCAUGAUGGCAUGGUAGCCGUCGUAGGAUCAUUUGUUGGUAAUUCAUGGAGAACGCUUUGAACCAUCGAUAUGCAAUUAUAAAUAUGAACUUCACCGGAGGUUUUUUAGGUUUUGGAUCUGAAAAAUCAAUAUUAAAGAAGCUUACCACAUGGCAGAAAUGCAAGAGCAGAUUCAGAAACAAGCAAUUUCAUGGAAGAUAUUGUGAUAAGUUUUACCUCCCUAGUAACUUAUCAAAUGGCUUGCCCUUUAUCAGCGAGCUCUUUUGUUUUACUAACUUUGCCAAUUUCCUUUUCCUGCAAUACAAAAAAGGAAACUUACAUUAGAUCCUCGACCCACCAAGAAAUAUAGAUCAUACGGGAGGAAUUAGGCACUCCGAUAAAUAAUAAAUUCACUCAUCAAACAACAAGAUAGGAUGUGUUACUAGCACAUCAAAAUCAAGAAAAUCCGUCGAUGGUCUGACAUUGAGAUUGAAAGAUCCUCCUGGAAGAUUAUGAAAAAUAAAUUUGGGAAGAAACAUGCAAAGGAAAAGGUGGUUAAGUGUCAGAUGCAAUUAGCGCACUAUUGCCAAGAGACAAUCUCAAAACUCCCAAAGUUGCACCAGACAAAAGCUGCAAAGGAUGAUAAAGCAUCUUUGCAAACCAUAUGAAUUAGAGCAAAUGCAGAUACAUUCCUGAACUCAAAGACCUGAUCAAAACCACAUGGGGAACCAAGACAUUAACUAAAGAAAAAGGAUCACUACUGUCUAGAUUCAAUGGACUAACAGAAUGAACAUGCUACAUAAUGCUAUAAGUGCCCUAUAUUUGCAAGGUAUAGGAGAAUAACAUGCCAAUUUCAAAAUGCUCUUAUUUUCACACUAAGAUAGACAAAAGCUGUAUCAAAUAGAUGUUCUUAAUCCUUAUUCUUCACUAAGACAUUCCACUAGAGAUCUCUUUAUCCUGUAUUGACCUCUCCAUACAAGUUAGUGGCCUACGUACUUGUACGGUUGUGUACAUAUACAUUUCACAACAAAAUAAACUUUCCCAGCCUAAUUGGCGAUAAGACCAACCAUAUUUGCAUAUCAAAUUGCACUUCCAACUUUGACAUGCAAAUCUUAAUUAGUUAUGAACCUUAAACACAUUGUCCCUAGUUGUCAAUAUAAUGAAUGCCACCAUGUCUGUCUCAUCUUCUAUGAAGUUCCGAUAGAGCACAAAAGAGAACAAUUUGACAUACAAAGAACAUACAAUACAUGACUGAGAACAGACACAGAGUUCAGGUGUCAACACAAGAUAUUUGUUUAUGAUAUCAUGCAUCAGUCCCUGCCAUGAUUCGUACGAAAAAAACUUCAAAGUUAGAAUUAUGAUUUCAACCUCAUGUACACUGAUCAGCAAUACUGAAUAUAUUGUCAUAGAUGCCUAGUUUCUUCUUCAAAUCCUCAUAUACAAGGAGCAGGGGAACUGAUGUAAACAUAACUAAAUCUCAGAGUAGCACAAGAGAAUAUCUAGAUCACGGUCAUAUCAAGAAUGAUUCUCUAGGUUCAUUACUAAAAAACCUGCACCAAUUCUUAGGCCCCUUCUAACCACCCUCCCAAAAUGUAUUUCACCUCCUUUCUUAAGUAUCAAGAUGUCCCUAAUUCAUUCGGAUGAUUCUUUGCAGAUCAAAGUAAAUAAUGUAGGCAGACAGCAUUAAGGUAGAAAUGCUUGUUGAGAACAGAUUUGAGGAGUUAUGCAAACAGUCAGAGUAAGUAAAAAAGAAGUCUCCGUAUGAAAUGCCAAACCAAUUUUGGAGGCCAUUUACAGAUCAAGCACAUUGCUCUAGGAAGCAAUUCCAGUUGGUAAAUCGGAACCAUCCAACAGAAAAAUGAAUUAUAAAGCAGUUGAACAGCACAUUUCACGGCCAAAUCAAGUAAAAGAGAGCUCAGAAACACUGAAGAAAACCAAUUAACCUUUCCACUGCUCUCAUAGUAAUCAUUCAAAGCCCACUGGUACUUCGACUGGUUCAACCCGAACCAAUCCGCCAAGUAUUCAUCCAAACUUAAAUGCGCUGCCAACAAAAACCAAACAGAAUAAGGAAAGGAAAAAACCACUACAAGCCCCGCGCCCAAACAAAAUUCACAAAAAGAUACCAUCUUGGACUUUGACGACGGCGUCCCAAAGGAACCCGAACACGGAUCCAGCAGACUUGACGGCCGGCUUUUCGAACUGCUGCGGCGGAACCUGAACCGGCGGCGGGGCGGCAACGAGACGGGGCGGCGAAAGGGGAGCCUUCACCGGGAAAGGAGCCUCCUUUCCGGGGCUGCUGGAGCUCAAUGCCGGCGCAGGGCUCGCAAUGCGGGAUCUCGGGCCCUCAGACGGCGUCGGGGUCGACGGCGGGGUGAUGAAGACAGUGAAGCUCCCAGCCUUCCCGAUCACCGGCGGCGGUGGAGGCGUCGGCGCUUCGGCCAUAUGGGAAGAGAUGGAUCGGUGCUAGGGCUCAGUAGAACGGGAAAGUGGUGCGAGGAGGGGCGCCUCGUGGGAACUUGUCACCGAUGCGUUCCUCUUCGGCCUACUGGUUUUGAUCGCAAUGGAAGUGAAAAGGAUCCCUUUUUCCCCCCUCCAUGCAUUAACCUUUCGUAUCCUCUUUAUACAAUUGGGCUUGUAGUUGGGGAGAAUAGCGGAAACGGCACUGACGUUAGGUGGCGAAGUCACGCGGGCAGCGUGGGAAUGCUCGGGUGACUUUGGUUUACACUUGGGGGUCUGCCAUCGGCCCAGUGGCCCCCACCGCCUCCUGAGAGGUGAGCCGUGUGUGUUCCCCACUCUUGGCCCCACCCAUCUUACAGACGAUGGUUGGGCGGUACCCGUUCGUGUUGAAUGCUUGCCGGUCUACGGCAGAGGAAGUGGUUUGAACUGAUACAGGCGGAGAAGACACCAACCCAACUCUGUCGGUCUCUGACGAAGCGCGUUUCAUACAUCGGCCCCACCCCAUCUUAAUAGACGAUUGGCUGAAGACAAGUGGGUUGCCGAAGUACCUCACACACACACAGCUGUUGUCCACUUCUCCAUGUAAAAAAUUCACCAGACAACAUGCUAUCAUCGAGUGGUCUGAGAACAAAACUUAAAGGCAGCUACUUCUAUCUGGUCCAUGCUACUCUAAUAGCAUUUAUUAUUUGAUUCACGGGCAAAGCUACACCUCCUUGUCCCACAAUGCAUAGUUUAUUAGUUCAUUGUGUAGAAUUCCAAAGCUGCAGCCUGACUCCAACUUAGUAAACAUCAAGCGCCUAGGCACUGAGGAGGAACAACAUUCCCAUGGUUUUAGCCAAAGAACAUGGGCACAAUACAGAAAGAUCUUGUUCUGCAAAGAAACAAAGAUGUCAGAUCCAAGGCAAAUUUGAUGACGAUGACUGCCCUAACCUCGACGGAGGGCGUCCAUGAAGCUGGUAUCUCUUGCCAUGCCAAUAUGCAUGUGUCACGUAGAAGGACACCAGCCGUGCCAAUAGCUAUGCAUGCAUAGGAGGCAGCCAGGAUGGAUGUUGGGCAUCCAAAUCCUCAUUUGAGUAUGCCUUCUUCUCCACAGCCACCAAAUACAACCAGCCAGGAUCCAUUUUGAGCAGAAUAGUGAAUGGAACCACGUACCAGGAGGAGCAGAGGGCACACUGACAUGUCUCCAACGCAAAGGUAUCAGUCAUUGGUUGCAUGUUAAGACCCUCGCCACCAAAAAGAACAGCACGAGCACUGACUGAAAUCGCAACUAGAUGGCUCCACAGCACCUCCAACUCUCAAUUUCCUCCAUGAAACAGCUUCAGGAGUGGUCAAUUCCCUUGCAAGUCUUCCUCAUCCAAGUCUUCUGAUACAGUCUCUAACGCAUGAGUGGUCUCACUGCCCCAUGCAUUUUGACAAACCAUAUUCUCCAGGGAUCUUCAUUCCUUGAUAGCUGACAAAGCCUCUCGCACGCUUAACCAACAGAUGCAACAUCAAUUGGUGACAACAUCCCACUACAUUCUUCAACCUCCUAGCCGAAGACAACGGAAGAAUUUGAGGAGGUGCGUUAAAAUAAGUAGACAGGCUCGGUUCGAAGAGUUUUAGGACAUACAUCUACUUGUUGUGCAUCCCAGAGGAAAUGCUCUUCCUGGUGCUUGUAGGUCUGAGACUACGUAUUGACGCGCGUCUUGGUCCCCUCGAAGGUCAGCGGAAAGACGUUCAUGACGAUGAUGGUGUCGCCGAAGCGAGCGUGCACCAUCAUCUUCAGCAGCACCAGAGGCGCCGACAUCUUCGCCCGGCGGAAGUAGUUGGGAUCCUGCGACCACGGCUUCUCCUGCUGGAUCUUGGCCUGCGCCGCCGCCGCCUAGGAGAAGGAGUCUCUCUCUCUCUCUCUCACGGAAGCGAUGUUAUAAAGAGCACUAUUGGGUGUAGUGAUGGAUCGGCCCGCGCCCUUAAAGCCCGACCCACAAGUUUGACGGGCCUGCAAUUAGAUCCGUUUGGAUCCGCAAGUUAUCGGAUUAGGUUUAGACAACCCUGAAACAAAUUUAAUGACACACAUAAUUAAUCUUUUCUUUUUCUACGCGACACAGAACCAAAUAUCUGAAAUUAGAAUUAAAAUUGAGUUAUUUGGAUCGAUGGCUCGUUGCAUAGUGAGAUUACGUAGCUCGAUUCAAAAAUACUAGUUUAAUAUUCAUGAAAAUUACAAGGGUUCCAAAAUAUUGGAUUAAGAUUUUAUUUCGAGAGGUUGGGAUGGAUAAUCUAUUGGGUAUAUUUGGAUAAAUAAUUUUACACAUAAAAUGUGGGUAGACUUUUCUUGUACCUCCGCACUUGGUUAAGGAUCAUUUGUGGACUUUGCAAUUGUUAUUUUUUCUUUUUUCACUCUAUGCACACUAAGUAUUUGUUAAAUUAUUUGAAAGCUACUUUUUUUUGUGAGACGUAAGGAUUUAUCCAUUAUUUAUUUUCUGAACUAAUUAAUUUUUUAUUUUUAUAAGUUUUUGGGACAUAGAUUGCUUCUAGGUUAAACCUUUAUAGAUGGAUAUCGUAAGGACAACUCAUGUCUUAGACAAUUCCAAUUAAGUCGAUGAUAUUCAUAGUUUUAUUUUAAAAAAUAAAUUAUUUUUUGAUUUAAUUUUUUAUUAAGGUUAAAUUUGAUCAUCAAUUUCAUUUGAUAAAAUUGACCCAUUCUAACUCAUAUUUCCAAUACUAUCGCAUCAAGAAGAAAAUGCUCGUUAAGUAUUUAACUCGAGAAUAAAAGAUACAUGUCUUCUAUCUUGGUUCUUGUAAAAGAUGGGUAGAAGAUAUCCGUAUCUCAUAUUAUCUAGCAAAACACCUCUAAUAAUUAUAUAAAUACAUAUCACAAGUGUUUAAACUAUUUCUAUGAGUUAAAUCUUAAGCACUGGAUCAUAAACUAUAUAUCUAUCAUAAUCAUAAAGAAUUUAUGUUAAACUUGAAAUACUAUAGUAUAUAUCGAGUCUAAUUAACUCUCUAUUUCCAUACUUUCUGUCUUUCUGUAAAUUUUGAUUGUGAAUGAGCCAAACAUUCCAUGAUUAAGAAUUGUCAUGCAAAACAUUUGUGCUUGUGUGGUCAAGAACACCCUCUACUAACAAUGCCAAUCUUAACCAAAGAGGAUAGAUCAGAAAUCCAAAGACCAAUAAUAUAACAAGAGGUACUAAUGCAAUGAAUAAAAGAACUACUAACUAAAGAACCUAAGCAGAGACUACUCUAAUCUAUCUGGCCAUAUAGCUGCUAAUCCCCCAACACUCAGCCUUACUCAGACUGAAACCCUAAUCAAAAUACUAAAGUAGUCUCUUUGGUAGGAGAAGCAUCAUCUCAAGAGUUGCUGCACAACACCAAGUAUCAGUGAGAAGAAUACAGUAGACUACUCGAUGAGGAGCAUGGCACACUAUACAUAUAUGAUUGAAGAGUGUGUUGAUUUGCACUAAUACCCACAAGAUUUCACAUAACAGGAAGAGGAAGAUGAAGACGAAGAAGAGGUAGAUAUCUCUAGAGAGCCACUGUAAGUCAGCUCCUGGAUCAUCUCUUCGAUGUACUCCUCAUCCGUACACUGGGCGACGUCUUCUUGGCUUCCGAUCGGCGUCGCCUUGCCUCUCCUGCUCUCGUCCCCGGAUGCGGAGCAGCACCGCUCCAGCUUCGCCAUGAGGUUCGGUGAUAAGACGGACGAGAAGUUGGGGUCGAAGGGGAAGUUGGUCCGGGCUGUCGGUCCGCACAUGAGCCGCGCCGCCUCGUCGUAGGCCCUAGCUGCGUCCUCCGCCGUUUCAAACGUGCCCAGCCAUAUCCUUGUCUUCCUGAAAUCGAAGCAACCUGGUCAAGCGACAUAUACCUUAACCUCUCUCUCUCUCUGAGCUAAGGUUAAGCGAAGGUACUGAGAGACAUUACAGAGUAGGAUGGCGGAUCUCGGAGACCCAUGAGCCCCAGUGCCUUUGCCUUACUCCUCGGUAUCUUUGUAACUUUGGCAUGUCUCACGAAUGUGCGCAGCAGCCGCCUGAGAAAGAGAGAUGCUUCGGGAGAUGGAGGCAUAUAUAUAUAUAUAUAUAUAUAUAUAUAUAUAUAUAUAUAUAUAUAUAUAUAUAUAUAUAUAUAUAUAUAUAUAUAUAUANNNNNNNNNNNNNNNNNNNNUAUAUAUAUAUAUAUAUAUAUAUAUAUAUAUAUAUAUAUAUAUAUAUAUAUAUAUAUAUAUAUAUAUAUAUAUAUAUAUAUAUAACAAACAUGGGUGACAGUAUUACACUUUUGGUACGGCAGCCCACUGGAGGCCCAUAUCUCAUUGGGCUUUUAGCCAGCGUCAAUCUCACAGUUUUUGGAUAAAAUUUGAACUACACUAAUCACGAUGAAAAAGAAUUGGUGUUUGUAUUGAGUUACAAAAAUCUUCGUGGAGAUUAAGCAUUGCAUUAAGAAUAUAAAUUAAUAGAUCUUGUGAUGUGAAGAUUACAUCAAUACCGAUAAAAAGUAGGGUCGAGUAUCUAUGAACUUGAUGAUGGUGACGAGAAACAUAAUUGAGCCCAGUAGGCCCAUAAGCCAUUGAGUAAUAACGUAUAAAAGAAGAGGGCUAAAUUGGUAGAGCAAAGAGGUCCGUCCCCUUCGCGUGGCCCCAUGCGUUAGCUUUGCUCCCCCCAUGUUUCUCUGUCAGAAAGAGCUCAUGUCAUGGAGCCAUUAUGAGUUGUGGGGCUGAUGCCAAGUGACAUCACAAUGUUUGCAUUGCCCAAUCGGGGGACAUCAGCAUCUGAGCUACCUCUAAUCUCUUAGUUCUCAGAUAAAAAGUGUCAUGGGGGUGUCUCCCUCUGGUGUAGCAAAAGGAUGAGCAUCACAGAAUGGUUGUCCCAAAGUUAAAGCAUUCCAACAUGAUCCCUUGUUGUUUAGCCAACUAAACUCUUGGGAAGAUCCAAGAUUUGCACAUCAAGAAGAAUUGUUUGUUUGGCUAAGAUCCAAGAUUUGCAUGGCCAAAGGGAAUGAAUGCAUUGUGCCUCUUUGGAUUGUUUGGUGGCACAACGAUGUCUCUCACAAGGAGUGGGUGGAUAGAUGUAGGGGGAGCGCAUGGCAUGGCACAUGGAAGCAUUUUGCGGAGCACAUGAAUGGUAGUGGCUCUUCAAGGGCCAGGAACAGAGGGGGCCAACGGUGGGGAUGGGUGGUGGGGCCCAAUGACAUUUCAUUUGAGGCAUUGCAUGUGGCAAGUUUAGAAGGUUGUCUCAUAUUUUACAUUUUUUUGGCCCUAUAUAAAAUCAGAAAAAAAAUUAUUUGUGUCCUCCAAAUUUAUUUAUGCUGUUAUAUUUCUAAUUAAUAUUAAAAUAUUAUGUGUCUGGAGGCCUAAUGCAUAAAAAGAUGAGAACAGAAAGGUCUUUUUUGGUAUCUUAGAAUUUUUAUAUUUAAAAAUCAAAAUAGUUUUGCUAAUCAUAAUUCAUAGUAAUUGAUUGGAUGGACACCAGUGGAAUUGGAUGAUAUAUACGAAGGAUUUGUAUAUUUGGAAGAAUAUAUAUACUAUAUAUACAUUAAUUUUUCAAAGGAUAUAUAAAUAAAAUAUUAUAAAUUUAGGAUCUUAACUCUAGAAAUAUUUUUUCUUUUUUUCUUUUUUGACAAAUAGAUUAGAUCCUUGGAUCUCACUCUCAAUAGUCAAAAUCGGGUCUAUUUCAUAGGAAUGUUUUCUUCUAUACAUUCGACGAGUUUAUUUGAUAGGGAUCUUUUCUUCGGUAGACCCGAUGGAUCUAUUUAUAACCUAGUUUAAUAUAUAACCUUUGUUAGGUUUUCAAUUGUAAAAAUACCCGACACAAUUAAUUGUCAAUAUUUAUAUCCAUGCGACUUUCCUCAUUAUUAUGAUGUUUGAUUUCUUUUAUGGAUUAUAAACUUAUCCUACAAAAUAGUAUAAAAAAUAUCAAAAUAUUUUAUUAUAAACAUUCCACUAUCAUCAAAUUUGAUUUAUAGUGUAAAACUUCCAAGUUUUUCAAUCAUAAAAACUAUUUACACAUCAAUAUGCACAAGAAAAUCUAUCUAUUCAUUCUUUAUUGAAUCUGACAACAAGUGGAGCCUAUGAUUUAAUAUCUAGUUUUUCCAUAUUGAAGACUAAUUACAUAUUGCUCCCUAUAAUUAGUUAUCUUUGGUAUAAAAUAUCACACGUAUAUAGUGAUAAAUCAAAAUGAGAUAAAGUCAGUAUAUGCUUAAUGGUAAAUCUUAUGAUAUUUCGUUAGCUAAAUCGAUGGUGUUAAGAGAAACAUGUUUAAAUAUUUUAUUUUUAUAAAUAUAGGGAUCUCAAUAUAAUUUUUUUAAAUAUAUAGACUGAAAUAUUAGAUGUAACUAAUUAUAUAUAUAUAUAUAUAUAAAGUAAACAUCAACUUGCAUGAGAUAUUUAAGCCCAAAUGCUUUAAACAGCUUCACAAAUGAAACUAGCUGGAAUAUUUAGUGUUGAGGGGAGGUUGUUUGCACUCCAUCUUCGCUAGAAGAAAGAACGAGCUGGAUGAUUUGAUCCUAUGUCACUGCAAGCUUAUGUUUAUGUUAGGGUUGAUAACUAUUCAUUAAGAUUCUAAUAAGAUUUUGAAUUAUUUGGAGAACAAGGUUAUUUGAAAGAAGAAAAAAAAAAUUGAAGGGAAAGAAAUUCUAGAUCUAAUUAUUUUGGAAGUACUUGAUGUAUUUCAAGAUCUUAAAGAGAACGAGGCAUAAUGGAAAAUCACUUUUAAGUAGUCAUAUGAUUUUUUUUUUAUACAUCUAAAGAUACGAAAUAAAUGAAGAGAAAAGUUUGAUGUUGGAGUCCGAGACGAAGAGAGAAGAGUCUUGUUCUUUUUAUUUGAUUAUUUUCAUAUACUGAAUGAUCUAAGUUCUUUCUUUG
Molecule: long non-coding RNA, 17777 nt
Filed under: Musa acuminata (dwarf banana)
Lineage: Eukaryota; Viridiplantae; Streptophyta; Magnoliopsida; Zingiberales; Musaceae
Description: long non-coding RNA (MACU_LNC001712)
Source: RNAcentral